RNAcentral lists this ribosomal RNA (430 nucleotides) under Verrucomicrobiota bacterium. RNAcentral's name for it is "Verrucomicrobia bacterium partial 16S ribosomal RNA". It matches the Rfam family "Bacterial small subunit ribosomal RNA", at positions 355 to 776 of the family's 1533-position model. Lineage: Bacteria; Pseudomonadati; Verrucomicrobiota. The record is from RNAcentral.
UAGGGAAUCUUCGGCAAUGGGGGGAACCCUGACCGAGCAACGCCGCGUGAGUGAAGAAGGUUUUCGGAUCGUAAAGCUCUGUUGUUAAGGAAGAACGAGUGUGAGAAUGGAAAGUUCAUGCUGUGACGGUACUUAACCAGAAAGGGACGGCUAACUACGUGCCAGCAGCCGCGGUAAUACGUAGGUCCCGAGCGUUGUCCGGAAUUAUUGGGCGUAAAGCGCGCGCAGGUGGUUUAGAAAGUCUGAUGUGAAAGCCCACGGCUCAACCGUGGAGGGUCAUUGGAAACUAAUAAACUUGAGUGCAGGAGAGAAAAGUGGAAUUCCCAGUGUAGCGGUGAAAUGCGUAGAUAUUGGGAGGAACACCAGUAGCGAAGGCGGCUUUCUGGACUGCAACUGACACUGAGGCACGAAAGCGUGGGUAGCAAACAGG